AAAACAUUUGUUGAGACUGCUUUCUAAAGGGCUCCACCUCCACCACCUGUCACUGUACUGGGGGCUGCAACGUGGACAGCACCCCUCACUUCUAAGUUCAACUGCAGACUGGAUGGUGAAAGGCUGAAGCCGAGGAGGUGGAAGUGCAGAUUUGGAGCUUCUGCCAGUGGCAAGGAUGGGAAGCAUGAAAGCGAUCUAAAAUAACAAGAGGACAGAGAGUGAACAGCAGCUGAAUCGAAUCAAAGCCUCUGGACCCGACAGGACCCUAUAACUCUUAUUAACUGAAUUGGAUGGAGCUAAAAUAAAGACAUAAACAUCCUAAAUCAUCCACUGAAAUCUUCUUAAAAGGGUAAGUUUCAUUUAUUUUCCAAUUUUAAAAAAAUUAUAUACUUACUUAGCAAAGU
Molecule: long non-coding RNA, 404 nt
Filed under: Capra hircus (goat)
Lineage: Eukaryota; Metazoa; Chordata; Mammalia; Artiodactyla; Bovidae
Description: lncRNA (ENSCHIG00000006413.1)
Source: RNAcentral